Molecule: ribosomal RNA, 429 nt
Filed under: Gemmatimonadota bacterium
Lineage: Bacteria; Pseudomonadati; Gemmatimonadota
Description: Gemmatimonadetes bacterium partial 16S ribosomal RNA
Rfam family: Bacterial small subunit ribosomal RNA
Source: RNAcentral
UAGGGAAUCUUCGGCAAUGGACGAAAGUCUGACCGAGCAACGCCGCGUGAGUGAAGAAGGUUUUCGGAUCUUAAAACUCUGUUGUUAGAGAAGAACAAGGACGUUAGUAACUGAACGUCCCCUGACGGUAUCUAACCAGAAAGCCACGGCUAACUACGUGCCAGCAGCCGCGGUAAUACGUAGGUGGCAAGCGUUGUCCGGAUUUAUUGGGCGUAAAGCGAGCGCAGGCGGUUUCUUAAGUCUGAUGUGAAAGCCCCCGGCUCAACCGGGGAGGGUCAUUGGAAACUGGGAGACUUGAGUGCAGAAGAGGAGAGUGGAAUUCCAUGUGUAGCGGUGAAAUGCGUAGAUAUAUGGAGGAACACCAGUGGCGAAGGCGGCUAUCUGGUCUGUAACUGACGCUGAGGCUCGAAAGCGUGGGGAGCAAACAGG